UGGCUAGGGGUGAAAGGCCAAUCAAACCUGGAGAUAGCUGGUUCUCCCCGAAAGCUAUUUAGGUAGCGCCUCGGACGAAUACUACUGGGGGUAGAGCACUGUUAAGGCUAGGGGGUCAUCCCGACUUACCAACCCUUUGCAAACUCCGAAUACCAGUAAGUACUAUCCGGGAGACACACGGCGGGUGCUAACGUCCGUCGUGGAGAGGGAAACAACCCAGACCGCCAGCUAAGGUCCCAAAUUACUACUAAGUGGGAAACGAUGUGGGAAGGCUCAGACAGCCAGGAUGUUGGCUUAGAAGCAGCCAUCAUUUAAAGAAAGCGUAAUAGCUCACUGGUCGAGUCGGCCUGCGCGGAAGAUGUAACGGGGCUAAGUAGUAAACCGAAGCUGCGGCAAUGUGCUUUUGCACAUUGGGUAGGGGAGCGUUCUGUAAGCGGUUGAAGGUGUGUGGUAACGCAUGCUGGACGUAUCAGAAGUGCGAAUGCUGACAUGAGUAACGAUAAAGGGGGUGAAAAACCUCCUCGCCGGAAGACCAAGGGUUCCUGUCCAACGUUAAUCGGGGCAGGGUAAGUCGACCCCUAAGGCGAGGCCGAAAGGCGUAGUCGAUGGGAAACGGGUUAAUAUUCCCGUACUUCUUACAAUUGCGAUGGGGGGACGGAGAAGGCUAGGUGGGCCUGGCGACGGUUGUCCAGGUUCAAGUGCGUAGGCUUAAGAGUUAGGUAAAUCCGGCUCUUUUUAAGGCUGAGACACGACGUCGAGCACCUACGGGUGUGAAGUCAUUGAUGCCAUGCUUCCAGGAAAAGCCUCUAAGCUUCAGAUUGUAAGGAAUCGUACCCCAAACCGACACAGGUGGUCGGGUAGAGAAUACCAAGGCGCUUGAGAGAACUCGGGUGAAGGAACUAGGCAAAAUGGUACCGUAACUUCGGGAGAAGGUACGCUCUUGAUGGUGAAGUCCCUUGCGGAUGGAGCUGACGAGAGUCGCAGAUACCAGGUGGCUGCAACUGUUUAUUAAAAACACAGCACUGUGCAAAAUCGUAAGAUGACGUAUACGGUGUGACGCCUGCCCGGUGCCGGAAGGUUAAUUGAUGGGGUUAGACUUCGGUCGAAGCUCUUGAUCGAAGCCCCGGUAAACGGCGGCCGUAACUAUAACGGUCCUAAGGUAGCGAAAUUCCUUGUCGGGUAAGUUCCGACCUGCACGAAUGGCGUAAUGAUGGCCACGCUGUCUCCACCCGAGACUCAGUGAAAUUGAAAUCGCUGUGAAGAUGCAGUGUACCCGCGGCUAGACGGAAAGACCCCGUGAACCUUUACUACAGCUUGGCACUGAACAUUGACCCUACAUGUGUAGGAUAGGUGGGAGGCUUUGAAGCAGGUACGCCAGUAUCUGUGGAGCCGUCCUUGAAAUACCACCCUUGUAGUGUUGAUGUUCUAACGUCGACCCCUUAUCGGGGUUGCGGACAGUGCCUGGUGGGUAGUUUGACUGGGGCGGUCUCCUCCCAAAGAGUAACGGAGGAGCACGAAGGUGGGCUAAUCACGGUUGGACAUCGUGAGGUUAGUGCAAUGGCAUAAGCCCGCUUGACUGCGAGAAUGACAAUUCGAGCAGGUGCGAAAGCAGGUCAUAGUGAUCCGGUGGUUCUGAAUGGAAGGGCCAUCGCUCAACGGAUAAAAGGUACUCCGGGGAUAACAGGCUGAUACCGCCCAAGAGUUCAUAUCGACGGCGGUGUUUGGCACCUCGAUGUCGG
This 1739-nucleotide ribosomal RNA is filed under the name Vibrio parahaemolyticus. RNAcentral describes it as "partial 23S ribosomal RNA". It matches the Rfam family "Bacterial large subunit ribosomal RNA", at positions 812 to 2535 of the family's 2925-position model. The record is from RNAcentral. Lineage: Bacteria; Pseudomonadati; Pseudomonadota; Gammaproteobacteria; Vibrionales; Vibrionaceae.